Molecule: long non-coding RNA, 1028 nt
Filed under: Brachypodium distachyon (stiff brome)
Lineage: Eukaryota; Viridiplantae; Streptophyta; Magnoliopsida; Poales; Poaceae
Description: long non-coding RNA (BDIS_LNC004734)
Source: RNAcentral
GGUCAAUUUUGUCGAAAUUCAGUUGGCUGUGCCACCCCAAGUACAUGCCCCCCUUCUUAGCCACUUGUUUUGCUUUCUCCUCUUUCUCUCUCUUAGUUAAUUUCUGACACUUUAAACUGAGUAGAGGAUUAACACUAUUACCACUUGACAACUUUUUCUUUUCUAUUUCUUUCUCUUUCUUUCUUUCUCUCUCCCCUACAUUACGGUACAUGACAUGUUUUGAAGUACAUGUUUAGUACAUUAUGGUAUAUGAACUGUACUGUAUCAGUUUUUAAAUAUCUCGUGUACAUGAACUUAUGAUACAAGAACAUCGUAUGGUACAUCACAUGUAUCUAAACAGUUUUUAAGUACCUCAUGCACAUGACAGAUAAAUGAAGUUAUAUGACAAGUACAUGAAGGUAUAUCACAGAUACAUCAAGGUACAUGAUAGUUCCUCAACUCAUACAAUUAAUAAGUACCUCAUCAACGAUAAAUUACAUCACAGUACAUGAUAAGUACCUCCUCAAUUCUCAAUGGAGAUAGAAAAAAGAAGAAGAAAUAAUCAAAGUACCUCGUCAUAUGAAGACUUUGUACAUCAAUUCAUAACAAUAUAUCGUGUACUAGAACAAAAUCGCAGUACAAACAAUCAUCGAAACACGGUACCAAUCAUCUAACAUGGAAAAAAAGAAUCGAAGCGGAGUACAUCAUGUACCAAGACAAAAUCACGGUACGAACAAUCAUCAAAACACAGUACCUCAUGGAUCUAACAUAAAAAAAAAAUUGAAGCUGGAUACAUCAUGUACCAGGACAAAAUCACAGUACGAACAAUCACAAAAAAUCAGUACCUCUUCCUGUACCCAUGUUACAUCCGUACAUGGCGGUACUAAAAAGUCACAGCACAAAACUUCAAAGAAAGCAGAAGAUCCGAAAGCAAAAUAACAAGAUGGCGGCGCGCAUCUGCUGCUUGCUCAUCUUUGCUUCUUGCCCGCACUCUCAAUUCAAAGAAGAAAACAGAAAUCCAAAUACACGCACACGUACACACAUCACGC